This is a non-coding RNA of Hordeum vulgare subsp. vulgare (domesticated barley), 124 nucleotides long. Lineage: Eukaryota; Viridiplantae; Streptophyta; Magnoliopsida; Poales; Poaceae. The record is from Rfam.
CUGAUACUCCCACCAUCCGGAAUUACUUGUCAUAUAAAUGUAUAAAAGUGGAUGUGCUAGAACUAAAAUACAUCUAGAUACAUCCACUCCUAUGACAAGUAUUUCCGUGCGGAGGAAGUACUUG